CGAAUGCACGGGUUGGCAUGACGCGGAGGAUGCUGGCGCCCCGCUGGUGUACGCCCUGCUGCUGCGGCGCUGUCGCCAGGGCCACUGCGAGGAGUUCUGUGUCUACAAGGGCAGCCUCUCCGGCUACGGAGCUGUGCUGCCCCCGGGUUUCAGGCCACACUUCGAGGUGGGCCUGGCCGUGGUGGUGCAGGACCAGCUGGGAGCCGCUGUGGUCGCCCUCAACAGGUGAGCCAGGCCGUGGGAGGGCGCCCCCGAGACUGCCACCUGCUCACCACCCCCCUCUGCUCGUAGGUCUCUGGCCAUCACCCUCCCAGAGCCUAACGGCAGUGCAACGGGGCUCACAGUCUGGCUGCACGGGCUCACCGCUAGUGUGCUCCCGGGGCUGCUGCGGCAGGCCGAUCCCCAGCACGUCAUCGAGUACUCGCUGGCCCUGGUCACCGUGCUGAACGAGUACGAGCAGGCCCUGGACGUGGCGGCAGAGCCCAAGCACGAGCGGCAGCGCCGAGCCCAGAUACGCAAGAACAUCACGGAGACUCUGGUGUCCCUGCGGGUCCACACUGUGGAUGACAUCCAGCAGAUCGCUGCUGCGCUGGCCCAGUGCAUGGGGCCCAGCAGGGAGCUCGUAUGCCGCUCAUGCCUGAAGCAGACGCUGCACAAGCUGGAGGCCAUGAUGCGCAUCCUGCAGGCAGAGACCACCGCGGGCACCGUGACGCCCACCGCCAUCGGAGACAGCAUCCUCAACAUCACAGGAGACCUCAUCCACCUGGCCAGCUCGGACGUGCGGGCACCACAGCCCUCAGAGCUGGGAGCCGAGUCACCAUCGCGGAUGGUGGCGUCCCAGGCCUACAACCUGACCUCUGCCCUCAUGCGCAUCCUCAUGCGCUCCCGCGUGCUCAACGAGGAGCCCCUGAUGCUGGCGGGCUUUCAGCGGGGCCCUGGCCAACCUCAGUGACGUGGUGCAGCUCAUCUUUCUGGUGGACUCCAAUCCCUUUCCCUUUGGCUAUAUCAGCAACUACACCGUCUCCACCAA
This 1030-nucleotide small RNA is filed under the name Pan troglodytes (chimpanzee). Its description in RNAcentral is "processed transcript". Lineage: Eukaryota; Metazoa; Chordata; Mammalia; Primates; Hominidae. The record is from RNAcentral.